CGAAACGCGGUGUGUUUGCUGAACUACGCGUGCACAUCGCGAGGCAGCUCGAGACGCGGUGUGUUUGCUGAGCUACGAGUGCGCAUCGUGAGACGCAACCAGGAAUUAUCAACUCGCUCACUUCUAUUGAAACACAUUUAAGACAAUUUUGGGAGCUGGAGGAGCUUCCCAGGUCAGGUGCUGAUAAGUUUACUCCAGAGGAACGUGCGUGCGAGGAGCUUUACGUCAAAACUACAACGCGUGGUGAUGAUGGAAGGUUCUCUACGCUUCAGAAGCGGCAUACGGCGCAUGUGUCUAUGUACGCACCG
RNAcentral lists this unclassified non-coding RNA (308 nucleotides) under Manduca sexta (tobacco hornworm). Its description in RNAcentral is "uncharacterized LOC115441244, transcript variant X4". Lineage: Eukaryota; Metazoa; Arthropoda; Insecta; Lepidoptera; Sphingidae. The record is from RNAcentral.